AUUCUUCCAGCCACAAAGAUGGCUACUUCUUCUUCUUCUUGCGCCUGUACACUUUGAUGUCCCCAUCAUAAGUUUUCAUAUCUUCAUCAUCAAUAGUUUUAAUAGUUUGUAUUGAAGGUACUAGUGUCACUGGCAAACUCUUAUUGGUUGAUCACUUCAAGUCUCUAUGCUGCAAAAAGGUUGCAUGAUGCCAUGCUUCAUUCCAUGUUAAGAGCUUCAAUGGUGUUCUUCCGGACCAACCCUAUUGGGCGCAUAAUCAAUAGGUUUGCCAAGGAUCUAGGUGAUAUAGAUCGCACUGUUGCUGUAUAUACAGAUAUGUUUCUGAGUCAUGUGUCACAGCUCCUUUCAACUUUCAUCCUGAUAGGCAUAUUGAGCACCAUAUCCCUGUGGGGCAUAUUGCCACUUCUGGUAUUGAUAUAUGCUAUCUGUAUUACCAGAUAUGGAACAUUAUCGUGUGGCCCCUGCCAUGUUUGGAGAAACAACAAUGGAAACAAAUCCUUGAUGAAUGGCAUCUGAAAUAGACAGUGGCCCUGAAAUUCCUUAUAUAUUUUGAUAUGUGAAAAUUGUCAUGAAUUAUUGGAAAUCUAUUGGAUGAUAUCUGAUAA
This is a long non-coding RNA of Macadamia integrifolia, 605 nucleotides long. RefSeq lists it as uncharacterized. The transcript is spliced from 3 exons. The record is from RefSeq and is a predicted model, not a curated record. NCBI's taxonomy places the organism in Eukaryota, Viridiplantae, Streptophyta, Magnoliopsida, Proteales, Proteaceae.